Molecule: ribosomal RNA, 515 nt
Filed under: bacterium symbiont of Megymenum gracilicorne
Lineage: Bacteria
Description: bacterial SSU rRNA
Rfam family: Bacterial small subunit ribosomal RNA
Source: RNAcentral
GGAGAGGGCUAGCGUUAUUCGGAAUUAUUGGGCGUAAAGGGCGCGUAGGCGGAUUAGUAAGUUAAAAGUGAAAUCCCAAGGCUCAACCUUGGAAUUGCUUUUAAAACUGCUAAUCUAGAGAUUGAAAGAGGAUAGAGGAAUUCCUAGUGUAGAGGUGAAAUUCGUAAAUAUUAGGAGGAACACCAGUGGCGAAGGCGUCUAUCUGGUUCAAAUCUGACGCUGAGGCGCGAAGGCGUGGGGAGCAAACAGGAUUAGAUACCCUGGUAGUCCACGCUGUAAACGAUGAAUGUUAAAUAUGGGGAGUUUACUUUCUGUAUUACAGCUAACGCGUUAAACAUUCCGCCUGGGGACUACGGUCGCAAGAUUAAAACUCAAAGGAAUUGACGGGGACCCGCACAAGCAGUGGAGCAUGUGGUUUAAUUCGAUGCAACGCGAAAAACCUUACCACUCCUUGACAUGGAAAUUAUACCUAUUCGAAGGGAUAGGGUCGGUUCGGCCGGGUUUCACACAGGUGU